Molecule: long non-coding RNA, 217 nt
Organism: Nematolebias whitei (Rio pearlfish)
Lineage: Eukaryota; Metazoa; Chordata; Actinopteri; Cyprinodontiformes; Rivulidae
Exons: 3
Source: RefSeq, a predicted model, not a curated record
CUGACUCCAUUUUAUGUCGACAGCAGAAGAACGAGGACUGAAAGCUGAAUGAGGUGAAGGUAGAAAGUGUGUGUGAGCUGAUGUGAAUUCAGCAGCAUGGAUCAGUGUGAGGACAGAGAGGAGGGAGUCCCUCCCUCUAAAACCACUCUGUGUGGGGAACAUGAGAGCCAGAGCAAAGAUCAGAGGAACACACCUGGACCUGGACCUGGACCUGGAC